This 947-nucleotide ribosomal RNA is filed under the name Microbacterium sp. CB 286370. RNAcentral describes it as "bacterial SSU rRNA". It matches the Rfam family "Bacterial small subunit ribosomal RNA", at positions 100 to 1058 of the family's 1533-position model. Lineage: Bacteria; Bacillati; Actinomycetota; Actinomycetes; Micrococcales; Microbacteriaceae. The record is from RNAcentral.
GAACGGGUGAGUAACACGUGAGCAACCUGCCCCUGACUCUGGGAUAAGCGCUGGAAACGGCGUCUAAUACUGGAUACGAGUAGCGACCGCAUGGUCAGUUACUGGAAAGAUUUAUUGGUUGGGGAUGGGCUCGCGGCCUAUCAGCUUGUUGGUGAGGUAAUGGCUCACCAAGGCGUCGACGGGUAGCCGGCCUGAGAGGGUGACCGGCCACACUGGGACUGAGACACGGCCCAGACUCCUACGGGAGGCAGCAGUGGGGAAUAUUGCACAAUGGGCGCAAGCCUGAUGCAGCAACGCCGCGUGAGGGAUGACGGCCUUCGGGUUGUAAACCUCUUUUAGCAGGGAAGAAGCGAAAGUGACGGUACCUGCAGAAAAAGCGCCGGCUAACUACGUGCCAGCAGCCGCGGUAAUACGUAGGGCGCAAGCGUUAUCCGGAAUUAUUGGGCGUAAAGAGCUCGUAGGCGGUUUGUCGCGUCUGCUGUGAAAUCCGGAGGCUCAACCUCCGGCCUGCAGUGGGUACGGGCAGACUAGAGUGCGGUAGGGGAGAUUGGAAUUCCUGGUGUAGCGGUGGAAUGCGCAGAUAUCAGGAGGAACACCGAUGGCGAAGGCAGAUCUCUGGGCCGUAACUGACGCUGAGGAGCGAAAGGGUGGGGAGCAAACAGGCUUAGAUACCCUGGUAGUCCACCCCGUAAACGUUGGGAACUAGUUGUGGGGUCCAUUCCACGGAUUCCGUGACGCAGCUAACGCAUUAAGUUCCCCGCCUGGGGAGUACGGCCGCAAGGCUAAAACUCAAAGGAAUUGACGGGGACCCGCACAAGCGGCGGAGCAUGCGGAUUAAUUCGAUGCAACGCGAAGAACCUUACCAAGGCUUGACAUAUACGAGAACGGGCCAGAAAUGGUCAACUCUUUGGACACUCGUAAACAGGUGGUGCAUGGUUGUCGGUCAG